RNAcentral lists this ribosomal RNA (253 nucleotides) under uncultured bacterium. RNAcentral's name for it is "partial 16S ribosomal RNA". It matches the Rfam family "Bacterial small subunit ribosomal RNA", at positions 524 to 776 of the family's 1533-position model. The record is from RNAcentral.
UACGAAGGGUGCAAGCGUUAAUCGGAAUUACUGGGCGUAAAGCGUGCGUAGGCGGUGAGUUAAGUCUGUCGUGAAAUCCCCGGGCUUAACCUGGGAAUGGCAUUUGGGACUGCAAGGCUGGAGUGCGGCAGAGGAGACUGGAAUUCCUGGUGUAGCAGUGAAAUGCGUAGAUAUCAGGAGGAAUACCGAUGGCGAAGGCAGGUCUCUGGGCUGACACUGACGCUCAUGCACGAAAGCGUGGGGAGCAAACAGG